Molecule: long non-coding RNA, 3060 nt
Filed under: Homo sapiens (human)
Lineage: Eukaryota; Metazoa; Chordata; Mammalia; Primates; Hominidae
Description: HSALNT0329061
Source: RNAcentral
GUGAUUCUCCUGCCUCAGCCUACCAAGUAGCUGGGACUACAGGUGCCCACCACCACGCCCGGCUAAUUUUUUGUAUUUUUAGUAGAGAUGGGGUUUCACCGUAUUAGCCAGGAUGGUCUCGAUCUCCUGACCUCGUGAUCUGUCUGCCUUGGCCUCCAAAAGUGCUGGGACCGUGCCCAGCCAUCAUUAUUAUUUUUUAAAAAGAAAACUCCCCCUACCCCCAGUAUACCAUUUUGUAUCUCAAAAUUUUACUUUAUUGAUUUUUAAGAGUAAUUUCUACUUUUAUCUUUUAAAUAAAACAUUUUAGAGUAUUUUUGAAGACUUAAAAAGCUUAAAAUUUAGUGUUUUUGGAAAUGUAUAAAAUUUUCUUGAAGUAUGUAUAGUUUUCCAAAUUACUUUACUGACCUGUUAACUCACUGUACUUGUUUUUUACUUAUUUUUUCCUGACCUCUUAACAAGGUGAGUCCAUUUAAUCAUCUGUGGUAUAAAAUGCUUCUCUAGUCACCUGUUCUCAUUAAACAGUUGUAAGUAAGUUUUAAAAGCCAUUAUUUUAAUUACUAAAAGUUCUCAAGUGUGUAGUAUUAUCUGAGUAUUUUAAUUGAAAAAUUAAUCAGGCUUUUAAAAAUUACUUUUUUAUUGUAUUAGUUGGCUUUUAAAUUCAGAUUCUUUAUAUUUGCUUGAUUUUUCCUGGAAGUUCCAAGUUUUAUGAAUUUGUAGCUGAUAGUAGGUUUUACUUGUGUACCCCAUCUGCACUUUGAUGUUGUGUAGAUCGUUUUGUGAGUUAUUUGAACCGUGUAACUCAGAGAAUAGUAUUUCCUCAUACAUAAAGUGACCUCACUUUUAAUCAGCUCCUUUAUAGUAUGUUGAAAAUCACUGCGUGUAAUGAGAGGUAUUGAGAGUUUCUUGCACACAUGAGUGUAAAAGGUUGAGAACUAGAUUAUACAAAGUAGUAAGUCACAGUGCAUGGCAACUUUCUACAGGUUGGAUUAUAAGACUUAUGUGGAAUAGGAGAAUUAUAUUGGGAAAAAAUUAUUUUCUCUAACUUGAAGACUCCAGAGACACUUUUCUUAGUCAUGACCAGUAAUAUUUUUCAUAUAUUUUGGAAGAAAUAAGCUCCUCACUAUACCACCAGUUAGUGAUUUAUUUAUUUAUGUAUUUUAGAGACAGGGCCUCCUUCUGUCACCCAGUUUGGAGUGCAGUGGUGUAAUCAUAGCUUACUGCAGCAUCAAACUCCUGGGCUCAAGUGUUCCUCCUGCCUCAGCCUCCCAAGUAGCUAGAACCUCAGCCCCAUGCCACCACACUCAGCUAAUUUUAAAUUUUACUAAUUUCAUUUAAUUUUUGUGGAGAUGGGGGUCUUGCUGUGUUGUUUAGGCUGGUCCUGAACUCCUGGCCUCAAGCGAUCCUUCUGCCUUGGCCUCUCAGUAAAUUAUAUAGAAGAGCACUUCUGUAUAAUUUACUCAGUUUCUUCAUCACAUAUUUCCAACUGUUGCCCUAAAUAGGUUUAAAAAUGUGAUCAUGUUAUUAGAAAAUCCUUUCCAUUGAAUUUCAGGGAUGCUGAAUUUCAGGGAGCUAAAUUGUUGACCCUUGCCUGUAGUUGUUAUUGGUUCAGAAGUAAAUUUUAUUGAUGCUACAAGUAAAAAAUUAGAUCUGACUUAGUAAACUCAAAAGUUUUACAAAACUGUAUUUUACUAUGUAGAUGUAUUUCUUUAAAAUAGGUAUGGAUGGAUAUUUUUAUGAAUAAAUAAUAUUGCAUUAUAGAUGGAAUGAAACUUUGCAUUUAAUUUGCCCCAUAAGUAGGCUUUUUGUAGAAUGAAUUACUCUCUUAAAUUGUCCAAUCUAAAUUUUUAUUAGCUACAUUAACUUAAAGCAUAUUCUCUCUCUUUUCUCUUCACACUUUCUUCCUCCUUCCCAGGGUCUUCCUCUCCCUCUUUCAUCACCUACAUUGUUCCCCUUCCCUUUUAUACUAUUCUUAUUGUAUGUACUAGCUGUUGUUAUUUAUACAAAUACUCAUACAUCCUUACAUAGCAUGUUUUUAAACAAAAGAUACUGUAGUGGUCUUAACAGUUUACAAUUUUAUAUUUAAAAAUUAUUCAGGAAAUCUGGAAAUCCCUGACUUUUUACACCGUGCUGAUCACUUGACUCCUGUCUUAGUCCAUUCUGGCUGCUCUCUCAGAAUACCAGAGACUGGAUAGCUUAUAAAAAACAGAAAUUUAUUUCUUCUAAGUCUGGAGGCUGGGAAAUACAAUAUCAAGGUGCCAGCAGAUUUGGUGUCUGGUGAGGGGCCCACUCACUGGUUCAUAGAUGGUGCAUUCUAGCUGUGUCUUCACCUAGUGGAAGGGUCGAGCUAGCUCUCUGAGACCCUUAUGACCUAAUCAUCCCCCAAAGGUUCCACUUCCUAAUACUAUACCUCGGGAAUUAAGGUUUCAACCUGUGAGUUUUGUGGGGACACAAAUAUUCAGACCAUAGCAACUCCUGUACUCUACUAAAAAGCAUAUUAGAGAAAUAAGUAAUUGUUUUUCAAUUUUUAAGAAUUAUUCACUUGAGCCAAGCGUGGUGGCUCACAUCUGUAAUUCCAGCACUUUGGGAGGCCGAGGUGGGUAGAUCACGAGGUCAGGAGUUCAAGACCAGCCUGGCCAAGAUGGUGAAACCUCAUCUGUACUAAAAAUACAAAAAUUAGCCAGGCGUAGUGGCAGGCACCUGUAAUCCCAGCUACUCAGGAGGCUGAGGCAGAGAAUUGCUUGAACCUGGGAGGCAGAGGUUGCAGUGAGCUGAGAUGUACCACUGCACUCUAGCCUGGGCGACAGAGUGAGACAGUGUCUCAAAUAAAUAAAUAAAUAAAUAAAAAUAAGAUUCACUUGAACUAACAACGUAAGAAUUAUUUUUAAAAGAAACUUUUUAAUGUAAGGUUUUUUAAAAAAAUUAUUCGAAUAAGAAAUUUUACUAUAUGUCUUACUGUUAUUGUUACUUAGAAGUAUAUUAAAGAAUUAAAACAUUUUUUAAAAGUGUACCUGCCUCAGGAUUAUUUUCAUUACAGAGUACUCCUUACUGAUUUUGCAUACA